RNAcentral lists this ribosomal RNA (605 nucleotides) under Staphylococcus aureus. RNAcentral's name for it is "bacterial SSU rRNA". It matches the Rfam family "Bacterial small subunit ribosomal RNA", at positions 1 to 587 of the family's 1533-position model. The record is from RNAcentral. Lineage: Bacteria; Bacillati; Bacillota; Bacilli; Caryophanales; Staphylococcaceae.
UUUUAUGGAGAGUUUGAUCCUGGCUCAGGAUGAACGCUGGCGGCGUGCCUAAUACAUGCAAGUCGAGCGAACGGACGAGAAGCUUGCUUCUCUGAUGUUAGCGGCGGACGGGUGAGUAACACGUGGAUAACCUACCUAUAAGACUGGGAUAACUUCGGGAAACCGGAGCUAAUACCGGAUAAUAUUUUGAACCGCAUGGUUCAAAAGUAAAAGACGGUCUUGCUGUCACUUAUAGAUGGAUCCGCGCUGCAUUAGCUAGUUGGUAAGGUAACGGCUUACCAAGGCAACGAUGCAUAGCCGACCUGAGAGGGUGAUCGGCCACACUGGAACUGAGACACGGUCCAGACUCCUACGGGAGGCAGCAGUAGGGAAUCUUCCGCAAUGGGCGAAAGCCUGACGGAGCAACGCCGCGUGAGUGAUGAAGGUCUUCGGAUCGUAAAACUCUGUUAUUAGGGAAGAACAUAUGUGUAAGUAACUGUGCACAUCUUGACGGUACCUAAUCAGAAAGCCACGGCUAACUACGUGCCAGCAGCCGCGGUAAUACGUAGGUGGCAAGCGUUAUCCGGAAUUAUUGGGCGUAAAGCGCGCGUAGGCGGUUUUUUAAG